UACGUAGGGGGCGAGCGUUGUCCGGAAUCAUUGGGCGUAAAGCGCGUGUAGGCGGCCCGGCAAGUCCGCUGUGAAAGUCCAGGGCUCAACCUCGAGAUGUCGGCGGAAACCGUCUGGCUAGAGUCCGGAAGAGGAGAGUGGAAUUCCUGGUGUAGCGGUGAAAUGCGCAGAUAUCAGGAAGAACACCUAUGGCGAAGGCAGCUCUCUGGGACGGUACUGACGCUGAGACGCGAAAGCGUGGGGAGCGAACAGG
This 253-nucleotide ribosomal RNA is filed under the name uncultured bacterium. RNAcentral describes it as "partial 16S ribosomal RNA". It matches the Rfam family "Bacterial small subunit ribosomal RNA", at positions 524 to 776 of the family's 1533-position model. The record is from RNAcentral.